Long non-coding RNA from Phyllostomus discolor (pale spear-nosed bat), 803 nucleotides. RefSeq lists it as uncharacterized. The record is from RefSeq and is a predicted model, not a curated record. Lineage: Eukaryota; Metazoa; Chordata; Mammalia; Chiroptera; Phyllostomidae. The transcript has 2 exons.
GCUUAUACUGCACUGCGCCACAACCCAAGGAGCAAACAGUACUUGCGCACUGGCACAGGAACCAGAAAGGAAGCGGCUGUGUUCGGCGGUGUUUAUUCCGGAGGUCUGGACGGCACCAACAGGACCCAGAGGGGAAUAUCCGGAUUGUCAAAAUUAAGAAGGGAAAUCCUACAGAGAGGAGAAGUUGCCUACCGUGGGUCUCUUAGCUUAAACUUGGGUAUCUACACUCAGUUUUCUACUUGACUCAAGACGUCCACCGACUUGCAACCGCCCGCCUUAAGUUCCUUAGAUGUAGGGACCCUUGGUAACAACUCAAGUCUCAGCGCCAGAGCAGGCAUUCAUUAACUCACUAUUUAAGUCAUUUCUUUAUUCAACAAACACUUAAUUCCAAGUUUGCAAUAGGCUCUGCACUAGGAACAAGGCACCCAGAUAUGGUCUUUACCUUGAAGUCACUGCUAUAGUUUUAUGGAAUAAAUGAACCUUAGUUUUCAUGAAAGAGAAUAAUAAAAGGUAGCUGUGAAGGUGUAAGGAGGCAGUGGAGACUGCCAAGGUUCACAAACUUGUAGUAAGCACAGAUACAGGCCUUCUGGAGGGAAUGGGCUUGAGCAGCACUCUGAAGGGAAAUUAAGGCCCAAAUUUGGGGGUAGAGUGAUUUGUGGUAGAAAAGUUGGGAGGAAAGUCGAACGACUCAUGGAGGUGCUUAAAGGACCAAGGCAGCGCACUGCCUUCCUGAAAGUGAGAGAUGGUAAGAAGACAGGUUAGUAGGAGACAAAGAUAUUUCCAGAAUGAAGUUUUGCCUUUUG